AUCCAUCUGACGAGCUCCAUAUAGGACGAAACGUGCGUCCUUGAU
Schistosoma mattheei is the source of this 45-nucleotide non-coding RNA. Lineage: Eukaryota; Metazoa; Platyhelminthes; Trematoda; Strigeidida; Schistosomatidae. The record is from Rfam.